Molecule: long non-coding RNA, 135 nt
Organism: Cotesia glomerata
Lineage: Eukaryota; Metazoa; Arthropoda; Insecta; Hymenoptera; Braconidae
Exons: 4
Source: RefSeq, a predicted model, not a curated record
AAAGUUUUACUUUGUAAUUAAAUUUUUAACCCGUCAGCACUCACGUUAUAAGCAUUUUGCUCACGCAACAACAUCCGACUUAUAGAGCGGCGUUGUAGUGCAAGUGAGACAUUAAAAUUCACGUGAGUUCUGACG